GACGAACGCUGGCGGCGUGCUUAACACAUGCAAGUCGAGCGGUAAGGCCCUUUCGGGGGUACACGAGCGGCGAGCGGGUGAGUAACACGUGGGUGACCUGCCUUUAGCUCUGGGAUAAGCCUGGGAAACCGGGUCUAAUACCGGAUAUGACUCCGCGGCGCAUGUUGUGGGGUGGAAAGCCUUGUGCGGCUGGAGAUGGGCCCGCGGCCUAUCAGCUUGUUGGUGGGGUGAUGGCCUACCAAGGCGACGACGGGUAGCCGGCCUGAGAGGGCGACCGGCCACACUGGGACUGAGACACGGCCCAGACUCCUACGGGAGGCAGCAGUGGGGAAUCUUGCGCAAUGGGCGAAAGCCUGACGCAGCGACGCCGCGUGAGGGAUGACGGCCUCGGUU
This 393-nucleotide ribosomal RNA is filed under the name uncultured bacterium. RNAcentral describes it as "bacterial SSU rRNA". It matches the Rfam family "Bacterial small subunit ribosomal RNA", at positions 28 to 424 of the family's 1533-position model. The record is from RNAcentral.